UACAGAGGGUGCGAGCGUUUGUCCGGAAUCACUGGGCGUAAAGGGCGCGUAGGCGGUGGCUUAAGCGUGUGGUGAAAGCUCAGGGCUCAACCCUGAGUCGGCCGUGCGAACUGGGUCACUGGAGCAUGUCAGAGGCAGGCGGAAUUCCGGGUGUAGCGGUGGAAUGCGUAGAGAUCCGGAAGAACACCGGUGGCGAAGGCGGCCUGCUGGGACAUCGCUGACGCUGAGG
This 229-nucleotide ribosomal RNA is filed under the name uncultured bacterium. Its description in RNAcentral is "partial 16S ribosomal RNA". It matches the Rfam family "Bacterial small subunit ribosomal RNA", at positions 524 to 751 of the family's 1533-position model. The record is from RNAcentral.